GCAAACUUGGUCAUUUAGAGGAAGUAAAAGUCGUAACAAGGUUUCCGUAGGUGAACCUGCGGAAGGAUCAUUACUGAGAUAGGGUUCUUCUGAGCCUGACCUCCAACCCUUUGUUUAAACCACCUUGUUGCUUUGGCAGGCCCGUCCUUGGGGACCGCCGGGAGUGUUUAGUCACCCUGGCCAGUGCCUGCCAGUAGCCAAUUUAAAUUCUUUUUAAUCAUGUUGUCUGAAAAAAAUAUUAAAAUUUUAAAAACUUUCAACAACGGAUCUCUUGGUUCUGGCAUCGAUGAAGAACGCAGC
This 300-nucleotide unclassified non-coding RNA is filed under the name uncultured fungus. Its description in RNAcentral is "partial contains small subunit ribosomal RNA, internal transcribed spacer 1, and 5.8S ribosomal RNA". The stretch from base 1 to 73 matches the Rfam family "Eukaryotic small subunit ribosomal RNA", at positions 1759 to 1831 of the family's 1831-position model. The record is from RNAcentral. Lineage: Eukaryota; Fungi.